This 515-nucleotide ribosomal RNA is filed under the name uncultured bacterium. RNAcentral describes it as "bacterial SSU rRNA". It matches the Rfam family "Bacterial small subunit ribosomal RNA", at positions 501 to 1017 of the family's 1533-position model. The record is from RNAcentral.
CUACGUGCCAGCAGCCGCGGUAAUACGGGGGGUGCGAGCGUUAAUCGGAAUAACUGGGCGUAAAGGGCACGCAGGCGGUGACUUAAGUGAGAUGUGAAAGCCCCGAGCUUAACUUGGGAAUUGCAUUUCAUACUGGGUCGCUAGAGUACUUUAGGGAGGGGUAGAAUUCCACGUGUAGCGGUGAAAUGCGUAGAGAUGUGGAGGAAUACCGAAGGCGAAGGCAGCCCCUUGGGAAUGUACUGACGCUCAUGUGCGAAAGCGUGGGGAGCAAACAGGAUUAGAUACCCUGGUAGUCCACGCUGUAAACGAUGUCGAUUUGGGGAUUGGGCUUUGAGCUUGGUGCCCGUAGCUAACGUGAUAAAUCGACCGCCUGGGGAGUACGGCCGCAAGGUUAAAACUCAAAUGAAUUGACGGGGGCCCGCACAAGCGGUGGAGCAUGUGGUUUAAUUCGAUGCAACGCGAAGAACCUUACCUACUCUUGACAUCCAUGGAAUUCUGUAGAGAUACGGGAGUGC